Long non-coding RNA from Capsicum annuum, 2465 nucleotides. RefSeq lists it as uncharacterized. The transcript is spliced from 2 exons. The record is from RefSeq and is a predicted model, not a curated record. NCBI's taxonomy places the organism in Eukaryota, Viridiplantae, Streptophyta, Magnoliopsida, Solanales, Solanaceae.
ACAAAUUAAAAUCAAGAAACAGAAAACAUCUAAUUUAAUAAUGGACAAUUAAAGACGGAGUAGUUUUAAUAAUAGUAAUAAAAACUAAUAAAAUAAUCCUCCCUCAUUCUUGAUUUUGCCUUUUUAUUUUCCAAGACAAAAAACAAACAAACUAUAUACAUAUAAUAACCCCAUCUUUGUAAAAAUCGAUUCUUGAAACAAAAAAACAAAAAUCAAGAAACACCCUUUUUCUUGUUUUUUUGCCUUUACCCUUCUUGUUGUUUUGGAUUUUGGAUUUGUGGGUAUUUUUUCUUUUGCUUUUUUGUAGUGAAAGAAAACAAGAAAGGGUGUGAAGAAAAUGGCACAAAAUGAGCAGCAGCAUAAUGAUCAUCAGCAGCAAGGGUUAAUAGAGGGAGCGGUUCUUGAUGAUAUAAUAAACAGGUUAUUGGAGUUUAGGAAUGCAAGAACUGUAAGGCAGGUACAGAUUUCUGAAGCUGAGAUCCGUUCCCUUUGUAGUGCUUCAAGGGAAAUCUUCCUUCAACAACCUAAUCUUCUUGAACUUGAAGCCCCUAUCAAGAUCUGUGAUAUAUAAAUUUUGAAUCCCUUAAACGACGUGCAAAAUUUUAGCUAAGUGGUCCAGCGCAUUCAGCAUCCACGACAGCGUCCAAGGUUCAACUCUUUGUGUUGUUUUUUUAUGACCCUUAUGAAAAAUCACGCCCCUUUUACGUGGGAGGGCCCCUGGGCAAAAAAUUACACUGUUUAUAUAGAGUAUAUCUUUUUUGUGUGUUUUUAUGUAUUAUGUGGAUAUAUAAAUUUUGAAUCCCUUAAACAUGUAAGAGGUUAGGGCAAAAUAUAGGGGUGAAUUCCUUUGUGUUGUUUUUUGAACAAAAUGCGCCUUUUUAUCCUUCUCCAUUUAAAUAUCAAGCUUAGUUUGCAUGAUGUGAAGUCUUGGGAGGUGGGAGGGCCCUUUGGUGAAAAAAUAUGUUGUAUGCAUAGAGUAGAUUUUUUGUGUUUCUUAUUUAGAUAUAUAAAUUUUGAAUUCCCUAAACAACAUGUACAAGGUUAGUGCAAAGUCUAUUGGCAAAUGUGUCCAGGGAUGGAUCUUGGGAAGUGGGCGAGCCCCUCGGCUAAAAAUUACAAUUUAUACAUAUAGAGUAGAUCUUUUGUGUUUGUUGACGUAGAUAUAUAAAUUUUGAAUCUCCUAACAAUGUGCAAAAGGUUAGCAAAGUGGUCCAGGGCAUUCAAAAUCGCUCCAAUAUCCAAGGUUCAAGUCUUAGGGGCUGUAUGGUUUAUUACAUUUUUAUUUUCUAACCCCCACCUGUGGUGUGACCUCUCUUUGUCUUUCUUUAUAUAGGCAAAUGUAAUAUAUAUAUGUGUGAGUUAUUUAUAUUGUUGAUGACAAAUAGCUUGAGACUGUUGAUAUAUGAUUUCUAAUCUUAAAAGGUAUAAAGAAUUUAUGAAAAUUUUUUUAUAUCAUAAAAAUGACAACUUUUUGGCUAAAUUUGGUAAUUGAUUUUAUCCCUGACGUGGAAGGGAUAGGUGGGUGAGGUUUUUGAGGUAGGUAAUUGUGUGUAUUUUGUUUGGUCAAAUUUGUAUAUGCCUCAAUCUGAAAUUAUUUGCUGUCAACUAUAUGAAUCCUCAGUAUUUGUUUCGCGUUGUUUGCACACGUUUCAUACCGGUGCUCAUAAAAGACAAAUUAGGGCUUCUUUAUAUUUUCUGCUUAUUUGAAAGGGAUAGGUGGGUGAGGUUUUAUGAGGCAGGGUAACAUGUACAGAUAUUGUUUGGUCAAAUUUGUAUAUGCCUCAAACAAAUGUGGUUGACUCCAUGAAUCCUCAGAAUUUGCUUCGCAUUGUUUGCACACGUGUGGAGGUUGUAGAUUAGGGUAGAAGGUUAAUGCGUGUGUGGGUUGUAGCUAGUAGUUAGGGAGCUCUGGUUUAGCCGGCUUAGUAAGCCUACGACUGUGCCCACUGGUAGGAGCCGUUAGUGUAUGCUAUUACGAGGGGGUGGCCUUUUCUUAUUUCUUAUUUACUGUUUUUUUUACUUUCGUAUUGCUCUUAUUUUCAUGGCUCUCUUAGCUCUAUUUGUAUUAUUUCUCAUUUCUUAUUUCGGUUAUGCCAUCCAUUCUACUUCAGAUAUUACUAUGACCUUGUUAACUAUUCUUUAUCUUGAGCCGGGGGUCUAUCGGAAACAGCCUCUCUACUUUUUCGGAAGUAGCGGUAUGGACUGCGUACAUUUUACCCUCCCCAGACCCCACUUGGUGGGAAUUCAUUGGGUUUGUUGUUGUUGUUGUUGUUUGCACACAUGUCAUCUUGUUACUCAUAAAACACAAAUUAGAGCUUCUCUAUAUGUUCUACUGAUUUGGAAGUAAAGUGUCGAGUCUGUAAAGGGUUUAUCGGAUGGGUAAGAAAAACUUUGGUCUAUUCGAUUCAAGUUCAAGACUGAUUGAAUAGAGCUACGCCCAUCAGUGUUGUGCUCAUCAUCCCGCA